UAAAAUGGGUAUACAUGUUUUGGGCACUUUGGGGUGAUGUAUGUGUAUGAAAAAGUUUUAUGGGUACACUUAAAAUCAUGUUAUAUUGUGUGCAUCUUGUUUCCUUAUUACCAUGUAUGGAUUAUAAUAUUUUGUGGAAUGCUUAUCUGCACUCUUUGACCAAGAGUGUGGGUAGGAGGGUAUUGAGAGUUCUCUCCCAUUGUUGGAAGAGAAAAGAGUGAGUUAUGAGUAUAAGAGGAGUGAAAGUGAUGUUUUUGUGAGAUUGGGUAUAUGGGGUUGAUGAAAUGGUGAAGAAAGAAGAAGCUUGGUUGCAUGGGAAUAAUAAGAUCAUGAAGGAAAAACAUGGAAUUGGCAAAGAAAUAGAAAGGGGCUGCAAGAGGAGCAACAACCGUGAAGAGAGAAGCUUGAAGGGUCUUUGGAAGCAAAGAAGGAUAAGUUAAANAAGGGUUGAAGAAAGAAAAAUGCAUUGUGUGACUUGGGUGUGUUUACGUAUGGGUGUGAAGCUUGGGUGAGGAGAAUGAGAGAGAUUUUGGUGUUGAAAAGUCAAAAGAAGAAAUAUGGGUGUUGUAGUGUUGAUACGUAAAUGGUAGAGAAUAUGAGUGAAAAAGAAAAAUAAAAGUAUGUGGGAUACUGUGUGAGACUGUGAGCAUUGAGUGGAGGAGAGAUAAGAGUGAAAUGAAAGGAUUGUAGUGUAUAAGUGUGUGUGUGUGUACGUAAAUGAGGUUGGGAGAGUGAAGAGAAAAAAAUAAAAUAAAAGGGAGUUUAGGGAGGGGUUACGUGACUUUGGUGAGAGGAAGGAAUGAUUUAG
Molecule: long non-coding RNA, 808 nt
Filed under: Vigna radiata
Lineage: Eukaryota; Viridiplantae; Streptophyta; Magnoliopsida; Fabales; Fabaceae
Description: long non-coding RNA (VRAD_LNC005410)
Source: RNAcentral